Molecule: non-coding RNA, 545 nt
Organism: Oryzias latipes (Japanese medaka)
Lineage: Eukaryota; Metazoa; Chordata; Actinopteri; Beloniformes; Adrianichthyidae
Source: the annotation of a RefSeq genome assembly
ACAUCCAGAGCUGCUGAGAACAGCUGCAGAUGACUGACUCAGUGUGUUUGCAUAUGUGUGCUGCCUCUCUGCUUCCAGCAGUUAAGAGCUCAGUGUUGAUCAGUGGCUGUCCAGACCUUUCAGAGACACUGACACACCUGCAGCACAAUGAGGAUGUCACUGACUCUGCUGCUGGCUGUCCUGGAGCUCCUUGUUCAGGGUUCAUCAGGUGAAAUCACUGUGACUCAGACUCCUGGAUCUCAGUCUGUUGUUCCAGAACAAACUGUCUCCAUUAGAUGUCAAACCAGUUCAGGUGUUGGAAACCACAUCGGAUGGUACCUUCAGAAAUCUGGAGAAGCUCCUAAACUCCUGAUGUAUGCUUCAACUCGUCAGUCUGGAGUUUCUGAUCGUUUUCGUGGAAGUGGAUCUGGCAGUGAUUUUACUCUGACCAUCAGUGGAGUUCAGGCUGAAGAUUCAGGAGUUUAUUACUGUCAGCAGGGUAGCAGCUUGUUCACACAGUGAAACAACGUCGUACAAAAACCUCUUUCAGCUAAAGAGGAACUGAU